This is a long non-coding RNA of Physella acuta, 388 nucleotides long. RefSeq lists it as uncharacterized. NCBI's taxonomy places the organism in Eukaryota, Metazoa, Mollusca, Gastropoda, Physidae. The record is from RefSeq and is a predicted model, not a curated record.
AAUUAGGCUUUAGUUUAAGGGAGAGAAGGACUAGACACUAGCCAGCGAAACUACUAGAAUCUGCAGACUAUCUGGACUACACCGAGAUGAAAUCUGCUGUUGUGUUCAUCGCAGUCUUAGCCCUCAUGGCGCUAUUUCUGGUUGUCGAAGCACGGCACCUUGGACAUUUACCAUUUUGGCCAUGUACUUGCUUUCCUCGGCAAUACUGUCCUGAAGGAUGCACUAUUAAGGUGACCAGUUAGCCAUAUAGAGCUUACAUCAAGCUGGCUAAUCCUUACAUUUGAGGUUUUGAGCUUAGCCAUCAAGCUUCAAUCGUAUUUGACUUCGUAAUUUACAAAUGAUGUUACGGUCAAGUUGUUAAUAAAACGAUUUUGAUUUCCAAACUUCU